Molecule: long non-coding RNA, 414 nt
Organism: Bombyx mori (domestic silkworm)
Lineage: Eukaryota; Metazoa; Arthropoda; Insecta; Lepidoptera; Bombycidae
Exons: 2
Source: RefSeq, a predicted model, not a curated record
CGUUUCCAGGGAACGUAAAACAUGUGUUUGGACAGGUAAUAACAUCACGCGCGAAGGGCAGUGAUUUGGCGUUGUAGUAAGCUAAAUAGCAGAUUGUGUUAUUAAUUUAAAAGUAGCUCUGUCUGUCUGUAACGUUUUCACACUACGACUAAACCGAUUUGGAUAAAGCUCUAUCCAAAAAUAGAAUUAUUUGAAAUAUCAAGGCUACCUUUCAGCCCAUUGUAGAUUGCGGAUUUGGAACUACGUUAUUGAAAACACAGGUAAAACAGCCAAUCUAGAGCUGGUUAGGUAUUAUAUUUUUACGAUUAUUUAACAAAGGAUAUCUACAACGUAUCGUAAUAAGAAUUUAGGCUUGAAUGGAUGUAUGCCAAUCUUUACUAGUAAUUAUGUAACUUAAUAUAACAAUGUCUUUGA